UCGGCAUUACUAUACAAAACUAAAGACGACAUAAAAAAAAUCUCCUUAAGCAACUCCCGUAUGCAGUGAACCUUCAGAAUCUGUCAUGUUCAAACUCCGGUAAAUAGAUCCACACCUAUAUGAGAAAACUUAAACCAACACUAUGUGAGAUAAUAACAUUCCCUAUUAGACAUAUGCAAGACAUGGUUGCAAUUAAUUUUUCCUAAAAUCAACCUAUGUGGCUAAAAGUGGCUAAAAAUACAAGAUUUGGCGAAGACCCCACGAAGCCAAGAACCUAAAGUUUACUAAGAACCGGACCCUAUGUGGUCUGCC
This 312-nucleotide long non-coding RNA is filed under the name Nicotiana benthamiana. RNAcentral's name for it is "long non-coding RNA (NBEN_LNC041108)". The record is from RNAcentral. Lineage: Eukaryota; Viridiplantae; Streptophyta; Magnoliopsida; Solanales; Solanaceae.